GAUGAACGCUGGCGGCGUGCUUAACACAUGCAAGUCGAACGAAGCACUUUUAUUUGAUUUCUUCGGAAUGAAGAUUUUAGUGACUGAGUGGCGGACGGGUGAGUAACGCGUGGGUAACCUGCCUCAUACAGGGGGAUAACAGUUGGAAAUGACUGCUAAUACCGCAUAAGCGCACAGUACCGCAUGGUACGGUGUGAAAAACUCCGGUGGUAUGAGAUGGACCCGCGUCUGAUUAGCUAGUUGGUGAGGUAACGGCCCACCAAGGCGACGAUCUUUAGCUGGUCUGAGAGGAUGAUCAGCCACACUGGGACUGAGACACGGCCCAG
Molecule: ribosomal RNA, 326 nt
Filed under: uncultured bacterium
Lineage: Bacteria
Description: bacterial SSU rRNA
Rfam family: Bacterial small subunit ribosomal RNA
Source: RNAcentral